UAUAUCAAAAACUCUGUAUAGUGAAGUCAGGAGUUUCAAUUCUUAUAAAGAUAUUUUCAACGAAACAUGGAAUUCAUCCUAGCCAUGGAUGAGAAUAGUCAAAAGAUGUUUUUUAGCGAACGUCUUCAAGAGAUUUAUCAGUGACGUUUUCGACACUAGUGAAUGUAAUUUUAAUAUCAAUGCAAGUAAAGAAAGAAAAAAUACAGUAAGUUACUAAUCUGGUUCAAGAGAUAUAUGUCUUGAAUCUCUGCCAACAUGUCUUUUUCUUAUAAGUGCUAAUAUAUAUGUUUCUUCGUCUUCUGAGACGAGCCUCAUCAUCUUAGAUUCAAGAGAUAUUCUUAGUGACGUCUUGAAUAAACUUUAGAAGAGCAACGUGCGAAGAUCCACCGUCCAUUAAAGCUACGUGACUCUUCUCGCUCAUCUCCUUCACUCUACUCCUCACGUCACUAUCCUGCUCCAUCAAACACCGGAUCCCUCUCUCUAUCUCCUCUGCCGUCAUCAACUCAUCAUCCGCCGCCAUGAAAUCUCCUCGGAAACUAUUUCGGACCUCCACCGCUAGCCCUAGCUCCUCAACCAUCUCGAACGCGUUAACUUGUUGCUCUGCGUAAAGCGGCCACGUAGCCAUCGGAACUCCGAACCAUAGACUCUCUAGCGUCGAGUUCCAUCCACAAUGCGACACGAACCCUCCGAUCGCAGGAUUUGCUAGAAUGGCGCUUUGUGGAGCCCAACCUACAAUCUUUCCUAUCUCUGCCGUCCGUUCCAAGAAUCCUUCCGGGAGAAUUUCCUCAAGAUUCGUAAAUUCUUCGGGAGGUCCUAUCGAUCCUUUUGGUUGAGCACGACGAAGAGACCAGACAAAGCGGUGACCACUUCGCUCAAGCGCGAUUGCGAUUUCUUUAGCUUGGCCCUCACGGAAACCUCCCAUGCUUCCGAAACAGAGGAAAACAACGGAUUUACGUGGCUGCUCGUCUAGCCACCGUAGGAUCUCCGAUUGCUUAUCGUCAGAUGAAUUUGGACCGUUGAUUUUAAGAUUCAUAACCGGUCCAACUGUGUACACCGUAGGCAGAGGACUAUCUACGCCGGAGAAAAACUUCAUAGCUUGAGGCUCAAGCUCAGCGAAUGUAUUUACCAAAAUACCUUUAGUUUCUCGGAAUCUUCUGGUUUGUCUAAACAUAACCGGUAACCACUCCUUGGUUAAUAGAACCGAGGGGAAACACUUAACCGGUAAAGGACGAGUCAAACAAGGAACUUCCAGCUCAGUAGUGUCCGAGUCCUUGAGGUCACUAACGUCAUAGUUCUUAACGUCGUAAAGGUAUUCAACAUGAACUUGCAAUCCAAGAAACGUUGCGUUGGAUGUGUAAAACAUGUAACUGGGAACACCAAACUCAUUAGCGACAUCAAUCAUCAUCAUGCAAAACAUAUCCACCACGAAUCCAGCAAGACGCGACGGCGAAUCUGGUGGACCCGGGUCAGUAAGUUUUUCCACCGUGGCUUUGACCUGCGGCUUGAAGUUAUCAAUGUAGUCGAAAAAAUGUGGUUUGGUGUCAUCGGAGUCUGGUUUAUCAGGGACGGAGAGAACGUUGUAGCUAAGACGUUCUUCAGAAUCAGAGGAGAGAGAAGCGAUGUAAGAAGAAGAGUUACUGCUACUAAAUCCAUGCAUCUGAGGGAUGAUGAUGAUGGUGAUGGAGAGAUGGUCGUCACGGUCAACAUGAAGCUUAGCUACCUCCACUAAUGGCCGGAGAUGUCCGUCACCAGGUGAUGGUAUGAACACCAGCUCCAGUUUCAUUUUUCAAAAUAUUUAUAUUUUUGUAGCAAUUGAGAAUUGGUUUCUCCUAUUGAAGGUUGAAGAUGUUUCGGUGAAGAGAUAAGAUUCGUCUUUAGCAUACAUGACAUGUGGUACUUGGACAUCUACUGAUGUUAGUUUAACUUUUGUCACAGGCCAUACAAUCUUGAUCUUCAGACUUCAACGUUAAUAUCAAGCAUGUGGUGGGAUGCAUAAUAGACAAGAGUCACAAGACACGACGCAGAACAAACAGACUCUCUUUUUGGUCCACAUAUAUAAUGACCUAUCCAAGAAACGUACUCCACUCUUCCACCUUCUCGGUUACUGAUGCGAAAGUAGCAAACAAAUAUUUCACAUUUUUCCAAAAAGUGUUUUUAAAAAGUCACCUAAUAUGAUAACUCAUAAAAUUUUCGUUUUGGUCCGUGAUUGAACCAAGCUAUAAGUCUAUUAUAACAUUCUCAAAAUGUAAAUUAGUAUUUCUAAGAAACCAUGAUGUAGUUGUUUUUUCUUUUUGUGGGGUGAUGUCAGCAUUGGACUUAAGGUGAGUUCAAGAUUUAGUAUGCAACUAAAGCACUUUCAAGUCGUGAAC
Molecule: long non-coding RNA, 2369 nt
Filed under: Arabidopsis thaliana (thale cress)
Lineage: Eukaryota; Viridiplantae; Streptophyta; Magnoliopsida; Brassicales; Brassicaceae
Description: potential natural antisense gene, locus overlaps with AT3G21760 (AT3G21755)
Source: RNAcentral